Molecule: ribosomal RNA, 219 nt
Filed under: Archaeorhizomycetales sp.
Lineage: Eukaryota; Fungi; Ascomycota; Archaeorhizomycetes; Archaeorhizomycetales
Description: partial large subunit ribosomal RNA
Source: RNAcentral
AAGCGUUUGGCAUCAGCCCAUGGCCCCCGACGAUCAUCCUGGCCUCGUGUCCGGUGCACUUGUCGGGGGUCGGGCCAGCAUCGGCCCCGUCCGUCGGAGAAAGGUCCAGAGGACGUGGCUCCCUCACGGGAGCGUUAUAACUCUGGGCGUCAUGCGACGUGACGGGGCCGAGGUCCACGGUGUUCUCGCCCAGGAUGCUGGCGUAAUGGUUCCAAGCGA